AGACCCGAAACCCGGUGAUCUAGCCAUGGGCAGGUUGAAGGUUGGGUAACACUAACUGGAGGACCGAACCGACUAAUGUUGAAAAAUUAGCGGAUGACUUGUGGCUGGGGGUGAAAGGCCAAUCAAACCGGGAGAUAGCUGGUUCUCCCCGAAAGCUAUUUAGGUAGCGCCUCGUGAAUUCAUCUCCGGGGGUAGAGCACUGUUUCGGCAAGGGGGUCAUCCCGACUUACCAACCCGAUGCAAACUGCGAAUACCGGAGAAUGUUAUCACGGGAGACACACGGCGGGUGCUAACGUCCGUCGUGAAGAGGGAAACAACCCAGACCGCCAGCUAAGGUCCCAAAGUCAUGGUUAAGUGGGAAACGAUGUGGGAAGGCCCAGACAGCCAGGAUGUUGGCUUAGAAGCAGCCAUCAUUUAAAGAAAGCGUAAUAGCUCACUGGUCGAGUCGGCCUGCGCGGAAGAUGUAACGGGGCUAAACCAUGCACCGAAGCUGCGGCAGCGACACUGUGUGUUGUUGGGUAGGGGAGCGUUCUGUAAGCCUGUGAAGGUGUGCUGUGAGGCAUGCUGGAGGUAUCAGAAGUGCGAAUGCUGACAUAAGUAACGAUAAAGCGGGUGAAAAGCCCGCUCGCCGGAAGACCAAGGGUUCCUGUCCAACGUUAAUCGGGGCAGGGUGAGUCGACCCCUAAGGCGAGGCCGAAAGGCGUAGUCGAUGGGAAACAGGUUAAUAUUCCUGUACUUGGUGUUACUGCGAAGGGGGGACGGAGAAGGCUAUGUUGGCCGGGCGACGGUUGUCCCGGUUUAAGCGUGUAGGCUGGUUUUCCAGGCAAAUCCGGAAAAUCAAGGCUGAGGCGUGAUGACGAGGCACUACGGUGCUGAAGCAACAAAUGCCCUGCUUCCAGGAAAAGCCUCUAAGCAUCAGGUAACAUCAAAUCGUACCCCAAACCGACACAGGUGGUCAGGUAGAGAAUACCAAGGCGCUUGAGAGAACUCGGGUGAAGGAACUAGGCAAAAUGGUGCCGUAACUUCGGGAGAAGGCACGCUGAUAUGUAGGUGAAGUCCCUCGCGGAUGGAGCUGAAAUCAGUCGAAGAUACCAGCUGGCUGCAACUGUUUAUUAAAAACACAGCACUGUGCAAACACGAAAGUGGACGUAUACGGUGUGACGCCUGCCCGGUGCCGGAAGGUUAAUUGAUGGGGUCAGCGCAAGCGAAGCUCUUGAUCGAAGCCCCGGUAAACGGCGGCCGUAACUAUAACGGUCCUAAGGUAGCGAAAUUCCUUGUCGGGUAAGUUCCGACCUGCACGAAUGGCGUAAUGAUGGCCAGGCUGUCUCCACCCGAGACUCAGUGAAAUUGAACUCGCUGUGAAGAUGCAGUGUACCCGCGGCAAGACGGAAAGACCCCGUGAACCUUUACUAUAGCUUGACACUGAACAUUGAGCCUUGAUGUGUAGGAUAGGUGGGAGGCUUUGAAGUGUGGACGCCAGUCUGCAUGGAGCCGACCUUGAAAUACCACCCUUUAAUGUUUGAUGUUCUAACGUGGACCCGUGAUCCGGGUUGCGGACAGUGUCUGGUGGGUAGUUUGACUGGGGCGGUCUCCUCCUAAAGAGUAACGGAGGAGCACGAAGGUUGGCUAAUCCUGGUCGGACAUCAGGAGGUUAGUGCAAUGGCAUAAGCCAGCUUGACUGCGAGCGUGACGGCGCGAGCAGGUGCGAAAGCAGGUCAUAGUGAUCCGGUGGUUCUGAAUGGAAGGGCCAUCGCUCAACGGAUAAAAGGUACUCCGGGGAUAACAGGCUGAUACCGCCCAAGAGUUCAUAUCGACGGCGGUGUUUGGCACCUCGAUGUCGGCUCAUCACAUCCUGGGGCUGAAGUAGGUCCCAAGGGUAUGGCUGUUCGCCAUUUAAAGUGGUACGCGAGCUGGGUUUAG
RNAcentral lists this ribosomal RNA (1920 nucleotides) under Escherichia coli. RNAcentral's name for it is "partial 23S ribosomal RNA". It matches the Rfam family "Bacterial large subunit ribosomal RNA", at positions 711 to 2614 of the family's 2925-position model. Lineage: Bacteria; Pseudomonadati; Pseudomonadota; Gammaproteobacteria; Enterobacterales; Enterobacteriaceae. The record is from RNAcentral.